This 503-nucleotide ribosomal RNA is filed under the name uncultured bacterium. RNAcentral describes it as "partial 16S ribosomal RNA". It matches the Rfam family "Bacterial small subunit ribosomal RNA", at positions 30 to 523 of the family's 1533-position model. The record is from RNAcentral.
AUUGAACGCUGGCGGCAGGCUCAACACAUGCAAGUCGAGCGGGGUGAUGGUGCUUGCACUAUCACUUAGCGGCGGACGGGUGAGUAAUGCUUAGGAAUCUGCCUAUUAGUGGGGGACAACAUCUCGAAAGGGAUGCUAAUACCGCAUACGUCCUACGGGAGAAAGCAGGGGAUCACUUGUGACCUUGCGCUAAUAGAUGAGCCUAAGUCGGAUUAGCUAGUUGGUGGGGUAAAGGCCUACCAAGGCGACGAUCUGUAGCGGGUCUGAGAGGAUGAUCCGCCACACUGGGACCGAGACACGGCCCAGACUCCUACGGGAGGCAGCAGUGGGGAAUAUUGGACAAUGGGGGGAACCCUGAUCCAGCCAUGCCGCGUGUGUGAAGAAGGCCUUAUGGUUGUAAAGCACUUUAAGCGAGGAGGAGGCUCUUUUGGUUAAUACCCAAGAUGAGUGGACGUUACUCGCAGAAUAAGCACCGGCUAACUCUGUGCCAGCCGCCGCAGUAA